This 404-nucleotide ribosomal RNA is filed under the name uncultured bacterium. Its description in RNAcentral is "bacterial SSU rRNA". It matches the Rfam family "Bacterial small subunit ribosomal RNA", at positions 355 to 776 of the family's 1533-position model. The record is from RNAcentral.
UGGGGAAUAUUGGACAAUGGGCGAAAGCCUGAUCCAGCAACGCCGCGUGAGGGAUGACGGCCUUCGGGUUGUAAACCUCUUUCAGUAGGGACGAAUGUGACGGUACCUACAGAAGAAGCACCGGCCAACUACGUGCCAGCAGCCGCGGUAAUACGUAGGGUGCGAGCGUUGUCCGGAAUUAUUGGGCGUAAAGGGCUCGUAGGCGGUUUGUCGCGUCAUGAGUGAAAUCCGGGUGCUUAACGCCUGGCUUGCUUGUGAUACGGGCAGACUGGAGGUAUGUAGGGGAGAACGGAAUUCCUGGUGUAGCGGUGAAAUGCGCAGAUAUCAGGAGGAACACCGGUGGCGAAGGCGGUUCUCUGGGCAUUACCUGACGCUGAGGAGCGAAAGUGUGGGGAGCGAACAGG